AUGGUAGGUGUUGAUAGGAGUGAUUCUUUUGAGUAUCUUAUUGACAGAAUAAAUCAAUUGGUUAUUGGAUGGAAGGAGAAGAUGCUUUCCUCUGGUGGUAAAGAAACGCUUAUUAAGGCUGUUGCUCAAGCUAUGCCGGUAUUUGCGAUGUCUGUGUUCAAAAUUCCGAAGAAAAUCUGCAAAGGAAUGACGGAUGCAAUAUCAAAGUACUGGUGGGGUGACGAUGACAACCACAAGCGCAUACAUUGGGCGUCAUGGUGGAAACUAUGUGUGCCUAAAGAUAGAGGAGGGCUGGGAUUCAGGGAUUUACAUAGCUUCAACCUUGCUUUACUAGCCAAACAAGUCUGUAGGCUGCUGGAAAACCCUGGCUCUCUUUGUGCACAGAUUCUGAGGGCCAAAUAUUAUCCAUAUGGAAAACUUUUAGAUGCUAAAUUGAAGAGUGGGAGCUCGUAUACAUGGCAAAGUAUUUAUGCUGGGAUUAACACGUUCAGGAGAGGUGCAAUAUGGCGCAUAGGAGAUGGCUCACAAGUGAAUAUUUGGUCUGAUUCGUGGAUUCAAUCUAGUGCUGAUGGUCGUGUUAUUACUCCACGAGGUACGACUUUGCUGUCUAAAGUAUCAGAACUCAUUGAUCCGGUCACUGGUCUAUGGGACCAAGAAUUGAUACAUAGUGUGUUCUGGCCGGUGGAUGCCCACCGAAUCUUGUCAAUACCACUGGCACCGAAUGGAAUGAUGGAAGACUUUCUGGCCCGGAGAUUCACAAAGAACCACAUUUUUCGGUAA
This 780-nucleotide ribosomal RNA is filed under the name Triticum aestivum (bread wheat). Its description in RNAcentral is "partial small subunit ribosomal RNA". The record is from RNAcentral. Lineage: Eukaryota; Viridiplantae; Streptophyta; Magnoliopsida; Poales; Poaceae.